GACGAACGCUGGCGGCGUGCCUAAUACAUGCAAGUUGAGCGCUGAAGGUUGGUACUUGUACCAACUGGAUGAGCAGCGAACGGGUGAGUAACGCGUGGGGAAUCUGCCUUUGAGCGGGGGACAACAUUUGGAAACGAAUGCUAAUACCGCAUAAAAACUUUAAACACAAGUUUUAAGUUUGAAAGAUGCAAUUGCAUCACUCAAGGAUGAUCCCGCGUUGUAUUAGCUAGUUGGUGAGGUAAAGGCUCACCAAGGCGAUGAUACAUAGCCGACCUGAGAGGGUGAUCGGCCACAUUGGGACUGAGACACGGCCCAAACUCCUACGGGAGGCAGCAGUAGGGAAUCUUCGGCAAUGGACGAAAGUCUGACCGAGCAACGCCGCGUGGGUGAAGAAGGUUUUCGGAUCGUAAAACUCUGUUGGUAGAGAAGAACGUUGGUGAGAGUGGAAAGCUCAUCAAGUGACGGUAACUACCCAGAAAGGGACGGCUAACUACGUG
This 497-nucleotide ribosomal RNA is filed under the name uncultured bacterium. RNAcentral describes it as "partial 16S ribosomal RNA". It matches the Rfam family "Bacterial small subunit ribosomal RNA", at positions 28 to 507 of the family's 1533-position model. The record is from RNAcentral.